UUGGUUGACAUAUGACCUUGAAAAAUGUCAACCGGAAGUGACCUUGAGUGAACCAGAAGUAGUCAUUUUUGCACUUAUUUCAUGUAGAAGUACAUAGAAACCAUAUAUUUUUUGAAUGGUCAUACAUUAAUCUAUCAUUUGAGACAGGAAGUGAUAUUUUAUAAACCGGAAGUAGCAUAUUAUCUCCCUUAUUACAGGCAUAAGUAUAUAUAAACCAUAUAUUUUUGGAAUCAGUGUGAAUAAAGCUAUCAUAUGAGACCGGAAGUGACAUUUUCUAAACCGGAAGUUGACAAUUAUCUCCCUUAUUUCAGGCAAAAGUCUAUAGAAACCAUAUGUUUAUUGAAUCAGUAUGAAGAAACCUUUGAUUGGACGCUAAUAGUAGCUUUGAGUAAACCAGAAUUAGCUUCUCAUCAAUUAUUUAGAAAAUUGAUGUGGAAAGACCUUCAAUUGUUCUUUGAACAAUUGGUUUUUAAUUAUUAUUAUUAUUUUUUUUUUUUUUCCGCCAACUUUUGAAAUAUUUGUUUCGCAAUAUGUCACUUAGAUAUUUCUCAUAUUGUAUCAUAUAGUUUAUGCGCUUUUAAAUUUCACCCUGCUAAGCUGAACAACUAUCUUUGUAAGAGUUAUCUCCCUAUUCACUGUUUAUCAAGUGUGUGCAUCUCCUUCGUAACAAAAAAAGAUAUUGACAAAAUUCUUUUUCUAAAUUGUUCGUUACAUCCUCAGGAAUGUUUGGCUAAUUUGGAUCGAAGCGAUUCGAUGAAAUUUUAUAGGAGUUAUCUACCUUUAUCAAAUAAAUUUGUCGUUAUGUUUUUGUUACUCAUAAACUGUAAGCCGUAUAAACCUAUAGUCUUUUUAUUUAAGGUCCUUGGAUCCUAACUUCGAAAAUGAGGUCAAGGUCAAAGGUCAAGGUCAUGUUCUGAAUUUUGUCUUUUGCUUGUUUUUGCAUUUUCUCCGAUAUUUUUAAUGUUAUAUAUUAAAGAACAAGUGCAAAA
This is a long non-coding RNA of Mytilus californianus (California mussel), 989 nucleotides long. RefSeq lists it as uncharacterized. The record is from RefSeq and is a predicted model, not a curated record. The transcript is spliced from 2 exons. NCBI's taxonomy places the organism in Eukaryota, Metazoa, Mollusca, Bivalvia, Mytilida, Mytilidae.